GAUGAAGAACGCAGCUAAAUGCGAUAAGUAGUGUGAAUUGCAGAAUUCAGUGAAUCAUCGAAUCUUUGAACGCACAUUGCGCCCUUUGGUAUUCCUUAGGGCAUGCCUGUUCGAGCGUCAUUUAAACCCUUCAAGCUCAGCUUGGUGUUGGGUGACUGUCCGCCGCCCCCGGGCGCGGACUCGCCCCAAAUUCAUUGGCGGCCGGUACGUAGGCUUCGAGCGCAGCAGAAACGCGAACUCGGGCCCGCGGUGUCGGCUCCCAGAAGCCAUCUCUUUUAUUUUGACCUCGGAUCAGGUAGGGAUACCCGCUGAACUUAAGCAUAUCAAUAAGCGGAGGA
This 338-nucleotide unclassified non-coding RNA is filed under the name soil metagenome. RNAcentral describes it as "partial contains 5.8S ribosomal RNA, internal transcribed spacer 2, and large subunit ribosomal RNA". The stretch from base 1 to 120 matches the Rfam family "5.8S ribosomal RNA", at positions 35 to 154 of the family's 154-position model. The record is from RNAcentral.